RNAcentral lists this long non-coding RNA (1285 nucleotides) under Homo sapiens (human). RNAcentral's name for it is "non-protein coding lnc-SPZ1-1:10". Lineage: Eukaryota; Metazoa; Chordata; Mammalia; Primates; Hominidae. The record is from RNAcentral.
CUGGGAUUACAGGCGUGAGCCACCGCGCCCUGCCGGAAUGAAGAUAUUUCUGUUAGUGCGAUUUUUGCGCCAAUCCCUUUGCUCUUUCAAAUAAGCAUUACCGUACCCAUUUUAGCGGUGAGGCAACUGAAGCCCAGAGAGGUUAAAUAACUUGCCCAAAGCCUCACAGCAAAGUUGAGGAAGUAAAACUGGGCCUGGAAUCCACUCGUCUGAUCCCCUGGCACAUGACGCAAGGCUUGACCUUAGAGGGACUCGUUUCCAGACAGAGCUCUGGCAAAGGAGUGUCUUGGGCAGCUUAGGAGUAGAAGAGGAAAGGUGAAUGGAAACCAGGCCUUGGGUUAUGAGCUGCGCAGGAUUUUCCAGCAUCUCAGAUGCAGGCGUUUAGAGAAAGAGAUAUAAUGGAGCAGGCCCUACUCAGAGCCACGAAAAGGAAUGAGGACAGUUGGCUCUAACUCAAAACAAAAAUAGGGUAAACCCAAUCAGUCAAGCGCAGCAACCUGCUCCGUGGCGAUCUGUGACUCAUCAGAAGCUGAGGCUCUCACCAGGACUUUCUAAUGAGCUUCGCUGUUGGCUACGACCGCGGUCACUUCACUUCAGCCCUACUCCUGGCCUGGGGAAAUGGGCAGGCCCCCUAGUAGCUCGGGGUGGGGAGACGGGUGGAGAGGAAGGAGGGGCGAAAAGGGAAGGCGCGAAAUCUACAAAUGUUUAAGCCAGCUGGAACUCCGAUGCCUCUUUGCCUUUUAGGGAAAUUGACUCGACUCGGAACUCGAGGACCUUUCACAAGAGACCACUGGGUUAGGGGGCAGAGCUGGUAAUAGAAUCCAGCGCUCCGAACCCUGAAUCAUGUCCUCUUUUUGCUGCUGAGGCUCAGGCCACAGCACCCCAAAUUAUGACUGUAGAAUACCAAAAUAUGCUAUCCCAAAAUACACUUGUUUGGCACAUUUCAAGCUGGUUAUUCUGAGAAACUGCAGACACGGGAGUAGCUCUGAAAAGCUGUCCUUUUGUAAAGCAAAUUUACAUCUAUAAAGGAAGUCCACAUAGUAAAAGUAUCUGUGUCAGGAAGGCAGCUGCUCAGAGAACUUUUAUUACAUGAGAGACUUUACAUAACAAGGCAACUUUUUUUUUUUUUUUUUUUUUUUUUUUUGAGGCAGAGUCUCGCUCAGUCGCCCAGGCUGGAGUGCAUUGGCAUGAUCCCGGCUCACUGCAACCUCCGCCCCCCGGGUUCAAGCGAUUCUCCGGCCUCAGCCUCUGAAGUAGCCGGGAUUACAGGCGCGCGCCACCGCGC